AAAAAAGGUAAGCUACUAAGAGCGAAUGGUGGAUGCCUUGACUGGUAAAGGCGAUGAAGGACGUACUAGACUGCGAUAAGCUACGGGGAGCUGUCAAGAAGCUUUGAUCCGUAGAUUUCCGAAUGGGGCAACCCAAUGUAUAGAGAUAUACAUUACCUAUAUAGGAGCGAACGAGGGGAAUUGAAACAUCUUAGUACCCUCAGGAAAAGAAAUCAAUAGAGAUUGCGUCAGUAGCGGCGAGCGAAAGCGCAAGAGGGCAAACCCAGUGCUUGCACUGGGGGUUGUAGGACUGCAAUGUGCAAGAGGUAAGUUUAGCAGAACAUUCUGGAAAGUAUAACCAUAGAGGGUGAUAGUCCCGUAUGCGAAAAACAAACCUUAGCUAGCAGUAUCCUGAGUAGGGCGGGACACGAGGAAUCCUGUCUGAAUCUGGGUCGACCACGAUCCAACCCUAAAUACUAAUACCAGAUCGAUAGUGCACAAGUACCGUGAGGGAAAGGUGAAAAGAACUGAGGUGAUCAGAGUGAAAUAGAACCUGAAACCAUUUGCUUACAAUCAUUCAGAGCCCUAUGUAGCAAUACAGGGUGAUGGACUGCCUUUUGCAUAAUGAGCCUGCGAGUUGUGGUGUCUGGCAAGGUUAAGCAAACGCGAAGCCGUAGCGAAAGCGAGUCUGAAUAGGGCGCUUAGUCAGAUGCUGCAGACCCGAAACGAAGUGAUCUAUCCAUGAGCAAGUUGAAGCUAGUGUAAGAACUAGUGGAGGACUGAACCCAUAGGCGUUGAAAAGCCCCGGGAUGACUUGUGGAUAGGGGUGAAAGGCCAAUCAAACUUCGUGAUAGCUGGUUCUCUCCGAAAUAUAUUUAGGUAUAGCGUUGUGUCGUAAUAUAAGGGGGUAGAGCACUGAAUGGGCUAGGGCAUACACCAAUGUACCAAACCCUAUCAAACUCCGAAUACCUUAUAUGUAAUCACAGCAGUCAGGCGGCGAGUGAUAAAAUCCGUCGUCAAGAGGGAAACAACCCAGACUACCAGCUAAGGUCCCUAAAUCUUACUUAAGUGGAAAACGAUGUGAAGUUACUUAAACAACCAGGAGGUUGGCUUAGAAGCAGCCAUCCUUUAAAGAAAGCGUAAUAGCUCACUGGUCUAGUGAUUUUGCGCGGAAAAUAUAACGGGGCUAAAGUAAGUACCGAAGCU
RNAcentral lists this ribosomal RNA (1185 nucleotides) under Campylobacter jejuni. Its description in RNAcentral is "partial 23S ribosomal RNA". It matches the Rfam family "Bacterial large subunit ribosomal RNA", at positions 1 to 1201 of the family's 2925-position model. Lineage: Bacteria; Pseudomonadati; Campylobacterota; Epsilonproteobacteria; Campylobacterales; Campylobacteraceae. The record is from RNAcentral.